This 69-nucleotide transfer RNA is filed under the name Ablepharus pannonicus. RNAcentral's name for it is "tRNA-Tyr". It matches the Rfam family "tRNA". Rfam says of the family: Transfer RNA (tRNA) molecules are approximately 80 nucleotides in length. Their secondary structure includes four short double-helical elements and three loops (D, anti-codon, and T loops). The record is from RNAcentral. Lineage: Eukaryota; Metazoa; Chordata; Lepidosauria; Squamata; Scincidae.
GGUAAGAUGGCCGAGGUCAGGCGGCAGGCUGUAGUCCUGCACAGGCGGGUGCAAUCCCGCUCUUCCCAA